Molecule: ribosomal RNA, 2900 nt
Filed under: Klebsiella pneumoniae
Lineage: Bacteria; Pseudomonadati; Pseudomonadota; Gammaproteobacteria; Enterobacterales; Enterobacteriaceae
Description: bacterial LSU rRNA
Rfam family: Bacterial large subunit ribosomal RNA
Source: RNAcentral
UUAAGCGACUAAGCGUACACGGUGGAUGCCCUGGCAGUCAGAGGCGAUGAAGGACGUGCUAAUCUGCGAAAAGCGUCGGUAAGGUGAUAUGAACCGUUAUAACCGGCGAUGUCCGAAUGGGGAAACCCAGUGCAAUUCGUUGCACUAUCGUUAACUGAAUACAUAGGUUAACGAGGCGAACCGGGGGAACUGAAACAUCUAAGUACCCCGAGGAAAAGAAAUCAACCGAGAUUCCCCCAGUAGCGGCGAGCGAACGGGGAGCAGCCCAGAGUCUGAAUCAGCUUGUGUGUUAGUGGAACGGUCUGGAAAGUCCGACGGUACAGGGUGAUAGUCCCGUACACCAAAAUGCACAGGCUGUGAACUCGAAGAGUAGGGCGGGACACGUGGUAUCCUGUCUGAAUAUGGGGGGACCAUCCUCCAAGGCUAAAUACUCCUGACUGACCGAUAGUGAACCAGUACCGUGAGGGAAAGGCGAAAAGAACCCCGGCGAGGGGAGUGAAAAAGAACCUGAAACCGUGUACGUACAAGCAGUGGGAGCACCUUCGGGUGUGACUGCGUACCUUUUGUAUAAUGGGUCAGCGACUUAUAUUCUGUAGCAAGGUUAACCGUAUAGGGGAGCCGCAGGGAAACCGAGUCUUAACUGGGCGUUAAGUUGCAGGGUAUAGACCCGAAACCCGGUGAUCUAGCCAUGGGCAGGUUGAAGGUUGGGUAACACUAACUGGAGGACCGAACCGACUAAUGUUGAAAAAUUAGCGGAUGACUUGUGGCUGGGGGUGAAAGGCCAAUCAAACCGGGAGAUAGCUGGUUCUCCCCGAAAGCUAUUUAGGUAGCGCCUCGUGAAUUCAUCUUCGGGGGUAGAGCACUGUUUCGGCUAGGGGGUCAUCCCGACUUACCAACCCGAUGCAAACUACGAAUACCGAAGAAUGUUAUCACGGGAGACACACGGCGGGUGCUAACGUCCGUCGUGAAGAGGGAAACAACCCAGACCGCCAGCUAAGGUCCCAAAGUCAUGGUUAAGUGGGAAACGAUGUGGGAAGGCACAGACAGCCAGGAUGUUGGCUUAGAAGCAGCCAUCAUUUAAAGAAAGCGUAAUAGCUCACUGGUCGAGUCGGCCUGCGCGGAAGAUGUAACGGGGCUAAACCAUGCACCGAAGCUGCGGCAGCGACACUAUGUGUUGUUGGGUAGGGGAGCGUUCUGUAAGCCUGCGAAGGUGUGCUGUGAGGCAUGCUGGAGGUAUCAGAAGUGCGAAUGCUGACAUAAGUAACGAUAAAGCGGGUGAAAAGCCCGCUCGCCGGAAGACCAAGGGUUCCUGUCCAACGUUAAUCGGGGCAGGGUGAGUCGACCCCUAAGGCGAGGCCGAAAGGCGUAGUCGAUGGGAAACAGGUUAAUAUUCCUGUACUUGGUGUUACUGCGAAGGGGGGACGGAGAAGGCUAUGUUAGCCGGGCGACGGUUGUCCCGGUUUAAGCAUGUAGGCUGGUUGUCCAGGCAAAUCCGGAUAAUCAAGGCUGAGGUGUGAUGACGAGGCACUACGGUGCUGAAGUAACAAAUGCCCUGCUUCCAGGAAAAGCCUCUAAGCAUCAGGUAACAUUAAAUCGUACCCCAAACCGACACAGGUGGUCAGGUAGAGAAUACCAAGGCGCUUGAGAGAACUCGGGUGAAGGAACUAGGCAAAAUGGUGCCGUAACUUCGGGAGAAGGCACGCUGGUGUGUAGGUGAAGCCCCUGCGGGUGGAGCUGAGACCAGUCGAAGAUACCAGCUGGCUGCAACUGUUUAUUAAAAACACAGCACUGUGCAAACACGAAAGUGGACGUAUACGGUGUGACGCCUGCCCGGUGCCGGAAGGUUAAUUGAUGGGGUUAUCCGUAAGGAGAAGCUCUUGAUCGAAGCCCCGGUAAACGGCGGCCGUAACUAUAACGGUCCUAAGGUAGCGAAAUUCCUUGUCGGGUAAGUUCCGACCUGCACGAAUGGCGUAAUGAUGGCCAGGCUGUCUCCACCCGAGACUCAGUGAAAUUGAACUCGCUGUGAAGAUGCAGUGUACCCGCGGCAAGACGGAAAGACCCCGUGAACCUUUACUAUAGCUUGACACUGAACAUUGAGCCUUGAUGUGUAGGAUAGGUGGGAGGCUUUGAAGCGUGGACGCCAGUCUGCGUGGAGCCAACCUUGAAAUACCACCCUUUAAUGUUUGAUGUUCUAACGUUGGCCCCUUACCGGGGUUGCGGACAGUGUCUGGUGGGUAGUUUGACUGGGGCGGUCUCCUCCCAAAGCGUAACGGAGGAGCACGAAGGUUAGCUAAUCCUGGUCGGACAUCAGGAGGUUAGUGCAAUGGCAUAAGCUAGCUUGACUGCGAGCGUGACGGCGCGAGCAGGUGCGAAAGCAGGUCAUAGUGAUCCGGUGGUUCUGAAUGGAAGGGCCAUCGCUCAACGGAUAAAAGGUACUCCGGGGAUAACAGGCUGAUACCGCCCAAGAGUUCAUAUCGACGGCGGUGUUUGGCACCUCGAUGUCGGCUCAUCACAUCCUGGGGCUGAAGUAGGUCCCAAGGGUAUGGCUGUUCGCCAUUUAAAGUGGUACGCGAGCUGGGUUUAGAACGUCGUGAGACAGUUCGGUCCCUAUCUGCCGUGGGCGCUGGAGAAUUGAGGGGGGCUGCUCCUAGUACGAGAGGACCGGAGUGGACGCAUCACUGGUGUUCGGGUUGUCAUGCCAAUGGCACUGCCCGGUAGCUAAAUGCGGAAGAGAUAAGUGCUGAAAGCAUCUAAGCACGAAACUUGCCCCGAGAUGAGUUCUCCCUGAGACUAUAAGUCUCCUGAAGGAACGUUAAAGACGAUGACGUUGAUAGGCCGGGUGUGUAAGCGCAGCGAUGCGUUGAGCUAACCGGUACUAAUGAACCGUGAGGCUUAACCUU